GAAACACGGACCAAGGAGUUCAACUGGAAUGCGAGUCAUAGAGUUAUCAAACUCUUUUUUUAACGGCGAAGCGAAAGCAAAAUUUGCGCGAAUCUUAAUUUAUUAAGAUGCAGCGCGGGCUGAUAAUGUAUGCUACGUAGAGCUUGUCUGUGCGUGCACUUACUAAUUUUUAGUAGGAUUUAUCAAGCUAAAGAGCAAUUUAGUUGAGACCCGAAAGAUGGUGAACUAUGCUCGGACAUGGUGAAGCCAGGUGAAAACUUGGUGGAAGCUUGCGUUGUGCGGAACUGACGUGCAAAUCGUUACCGCCUGACCUGAGUAUAGGGGCGAAAGACUCAUCGAACCAUCUAGUAGCUGGUUCCCUCCGAAGUUUCCCUCAGGAUAGCUCGAUAAUAUUUCCGAGUAACACAAGGGUAAAGCAAUGAGACGCGGUAUCUGUGGGUCUUAUUUAAAUGACCUCGGCCUUCUCUCAAACUUUAAAUCUGUGCGAAAACAUAUUUUGUUUACUUAAAAGCAUUUUAAAUGCGUGAAACUAUGUUUCAUAUCUAAUAAUUCGUAGUGGGCCAUUUCUGGUAAGCAGAACUGGCGAUGAGGGAUUCAACCUGACGUUUUCAAGAUAAGCCGGGCUUAAUCAUAUCUGCUCCAACCUUCCGAUAAACGCGA
RNAcentral lists this ribosomal RNA (660 nucleotides) under Glabratella sp. 13435. RNAcentral describes it as "eukaryotic LSU rRNA". It matches the Rfam family "Eukaryotic large subunit ribosomal RNA", at positions 656 to 1368 of the family's 3401-position model. Lineage: Eukaryota; Foraminifera; Rotaliida; Glabratellidae. The record is from RNAcentral.